ACCAGGGAGUUGGACAGUGCUUGCAGAGUUGCGUUUCUUUUCAGACAAGGCUGUCCUUUUAAAAUUGCUGACUGUGCAGAGACAAGGCUUUCAUAACCUCUAAGGCCAAAAGCACAUCUCAACAAUAGCUGAUCAAACGAAGGCGUUUCACCAGGAGAAAAUCAAGUUGGUAGACAUGUAAAGAGGCAGGAGACAAAGCAACACCAGCCGCAGCUCACCUUUGCCCGAUGCUUUCGCCUGUCCCGUGCUCUUCACCUGCAUUUGGUCAUUAAGCUUCGCAUUACUUGCACGAGGGAGAGCCACUUGAUAGCCAAGACUUUGGCUGUAGCCAGUAAACUUUGGAAGUAGCCAGUAAACUACAUGGCUUCUAAAGACAGACGAAAAAAUUUCAUUCUGGAGUGAGCACGUUAUAAUACUCCAGUAAAUGAAUGGGAGUGAUACCAACAAGAGAGUGGAAACAGAAGCCUCAGGGCCUCCUUCUUCUCAUGAAGCCAACAGCCCCACAACAGUACGGGGAGCAAUUCCCACUGUGAGAAAUUCGGAAACCAGGUUUCAUCUUUUGUUCUGCAAUGUUCUCGAACAUUCCCAGAGAGUGAGACACACGGGGGUGUGCAAGUUCCUCAAGCAUCCCACACCGAAGAAGAUACUGCGUACGGACAGCAGUGGGGAACCAGGCACAGUGCACUACGUGGUAUGGUCGGGACUUUAAUCCCAGCUCCAU
Long non-coding RNA from Fukomys damarensis (Damara mole-rat), 721 nucleotides. RefSeq lists it as uncharacterized. NCBI's taxonomy places the organism in Eukaryota, Metazoa, Chordata, Mammalia, Rodentia, Bathyergidae. The transcript is spliced from 4 exons. The record is from RefSeq and is a predicted model, not a curated record.